This 28-nucleotide non-coding RNA is filed under the name Homo sapiens (human). Lineage: Eukaryota; Metazoa; Chordata; Mammalia; Primates; Hominidae. The record is from RNAcentral.
UGUGAUGGCUUUAUGAGAUGAUAAAUGC